GAGAACUAUAUCUCCUCAUGCACAGAGGCAUAAAUCUUUACAUCAUUUGAAUCAUAUCAUACAUGCUACUUAUACAACAUAUGGAGGACUUUGUGUGCCACUACCUUUGCUUUAUUACUUUUAGCUUUGUCCUCUGAUUUGCUUCUGCUUCUUCCUCAGGCAAUAGAUGAUGAAGAAGCUAAGUUUCAUGGUGUGCGUCUGCAGACCUCACCCCCAGUGGACCCCCUGAAUUUUGGUUCCCGUUAUAUCGUGUCCAGUAAUGCUCAUCUGGAGAUAAUACCUGAGGAGUUGAAAUUAUCCUACAGGAGUCCUGGAGAAAUCCAGAUAUUCUCCAAAGUCUAUGCUGGGAAGAUGAAGGAACCAAUCAUAGUUGAAAUUGCUGAAAAAAGACACAAGACUUUGGUCUGGCGCACUUUGGUGAAGCCAGUGGAUCUCCAGUUUCAUUCUGCAGCAGCCCCUCCUCCUCUCUCAGAUCAUCCAGGAGGAGAAAGAUAGCAUCUCCUGAUGCCCCUCAGUGAAGAGAAGACUCUCCUCAGGUGUCACAUUGGCUUGAAAUGGCAAUAGACCCAUUUCCUGGCCAGCUGGUGGUGUUGUCAGGAGGUCCAGAGAGGCAGACUAGCUAAAGAAAAUCAGGCCCCACACCUGGAGUCGCAAUUGGGUUCCAACCCAACCACAGAUCUUGGGUAAGCAUGAGCUAAGGAUGAUUUCACAAAGAAAAUGAAAAGGAUUUAUGCAGGUGGUGAGUGUGUGGCACCAGCAAAAGGUCUCCACCCUUCCUAUUAUGCAAGCUCUUGAGCAAGAGAUAUCUGUCACCCGUUGUCACAAGAUAAAGUUGAGCCUGGUUUUCUCUCUCUAGAAGACCUUUCAGAAGCUGCUGCCAGCCCACAUCUUUGCCAGCCAAAUCUCCAUUCUGGCCACCAUGCACUGUGAAGCAUGACAUCUCUCUUCCUCUUUUUCCCUUUUGGCCUGGUGGCAUCUUGUAUUUCAUACAAGAUCCUACUCCUUCAGAUCUUCUUUUGAUACUAAGUCUUCUGUGAAGACUUUGCUUUAAAGUCUAG
Canis lupus familiaris (dog) is the source of this 1058-nucleotide long non-coding RNA. RefSeq lists it as uncharacterized. NCBI's taxonomy places the organism in Eukaryota, Metazoa, Chordata, Mammalia, Carnivora, Canidae. The record is from RefSeq and is a predicted model, not a curated record. The transcript is spliced from 4 exons.